AUGAGCCGCCACCGCCGGUCGCCGCUGGACGACGACGACCUCCUCUCCGAGAUCCUCCUCCGCCUCCCGCCGCAGCCGUCCUCCCUCCCGCGCGCCUCCCUCGUCUGCAAGCGCUGGCGCGGCCUCGCCUCCGACCCCGGCUUCUGCCGCUGCUUCCGCAUCCACCACCGCCGCAACCCGCCCCUCCUCGGUUUGUUCGACAGCCACCCCAUCGUUCCCUUCCGGCCCACCGUGGAUCCCCCCAACCGCGUCUCGCCCGGCCGCUUCUCCUUGCAGCUCAGCGACAGCAGGCACGUCAGAUCCCUUGGAUGCCGCCAUGGCCUAGCACUGUACUUCGACUGCGUGCUGCCCCAGCUCCUAGUGUGGGACCCCAUCCACGGCGACCAGCGCCGCAUUGCCCUUCCGCCGGGGUUUGACGCGGAGAGGGCGCUGAUCGACGGGGCGGUGCUUCGUGCUGCCGGAGACGCCCACUUCCAGUUCCAGGUCCUCUUGGUAGGAGCGCUAGACGACGACGACGAUGAAGACGCCGAGGGGCAAAUGGUAUCUGUCUUCACCUGCGUUUACUCGUCAGAGACUGGCGUAUGGGGAAAUCUCUUCUCAACACUAAUUACAGCGGAGUCUUAUGUUAGUUUGGGACCUGCUGUGCUGGUUGGGGACUCCGUUUACUCAAUACUUGUUACUUCACCAGGCUAUGAAUUAGAUCCAGAGACGCAGAUCCUUGAGUUUGAUUUGAAGAUGCAGAGCCUAGCCACGAUACAGCUGCCAGUGGAUAUGCUUGAAUAUUGCCGCCUCAUGCCCGUGCGGGCAGAUGGUGGUGGGCUGGGUUUAUUCCUCGUAUCAAACUUCACCGCCCAGUUAUGGAAAAGGAAAACUGACUGCAAUGGUGUUGCUUCAUGGGGGCUGGGGAGAACUGUUGCAUUGGAUGAACUACUUUCCCUGAAUUCAGAGUCUGGGUACCUAAUAAGCAUAAUAGGGUAUGCUGAGGAAAAUAAUCUGGUGUUCUUGGGGACAGCUGAGGGUGUCUUCAUGAUCCAACUUGAGUCAUUGCAGUUCACGAAACUUUCCGGAGACGUCAUGUUCCCUCGUCAUCAUCCAUUCGAAAGUGUCUAUACUACAGGUUGA
This 1122-nucleotide ribosomal RNA is filed under the name Triticum aestivum (bread wheat). RNAcentral's name for it is "partial small subunit ribosomal RNA". The record is from RNAcentral. Lineage: Eukaryota; Viridiplantae; Streptophyta; Magnoliopsida; Poales; Poaceae.